AGUGAACGCUGGCGGUAGGCCUAACACAUGCAAGUCGAACGGCAGCACAGUAAGAGCUUGCUCUUACGGGAGGCGAGUGGCGGACGGGUGAGGAAUACAUCGGAAUCUACUUUUUCGUGGGGGAUAACGUAGGGAAACUUACGCUAAUACAGCAUACGACCUACGGGUGAAAGCAGGGGAUCUUCGGACCUUGCGCGAUUGAAUGAGCCGAUGUCGGAUUAGCUGGAUGGCGGGGUAAAGGCCCACCAAGGCGACGAUCCGUAGCUGGUCUGAGAGGAUGAUCAGCCACACUGGAACUGGGACACGGUCCCGACUCCUACGGGAGGCAGCAGUGGGGAAUAUUGGACAAUGGGCGCAAGCCUUAUCCAGCCAUACCGCGUGGGUGAAGAAGGCCUUCCGGUUGUAAAGCCCUUUUGUUGGGAAAGAAAAGCAGCAGGUUAAUACCCCGCUGUUCUGACGGUACCCAAAGAAUAAGCACCGGCUAACUUCGUG
This 492-nucleotide ribosomal RNA is filed under the name uncultured bacterium. RNAcentral describes it as "partial 16S ribosomal RNA". It matches the Rfam family "Bacterial small subunit ribosomal RNA", at positions 29 to 507 of the family's 1533-position model. The record is from RNAcentral.